GUCAAUGGAAGAACUAAACAGAAAUCUGACAGCUGUAAAGAAAAUUGUGUGCAUAUAAUAUUUCAUGUAAGGGAAUUGGCAUUUAUAGAUAAUUCGGAGGGCUAAAAUCAAGAGUCUAGUGAGAUGCCAAUUUUUUAAGAUCGUCCACUUGAUCACCUUCCGAGGGAUAACUGAGGUAUCUUCUGUCAAGAAAGUGGAUUAAAAUGUGAUGAUGACUUGGAAUUGAGUUGCAGCCAAUACUAAAAUGAACUACAAGUCAUGCUGUGAAAAAGAUCGAGUAUAUAAUUAUAUGGCCUGCAAGAAUGAAUCUUGUAAACACUAUAUCUGUUGGGUAUGUUUCCGCUUGUCGGAACCACACAGUAGCAGUUGGUACACUUAUAUCAUUGUUUGUCAUCCUAACAUAAUGAUUCACAUUGAUUCAUA
Ctenocephalides felis (cat flea) is the source of this 423-nucleotide long non-coding RNA. RefSeq lists it as uncharacterized. The record is from RefSeq and is a predicted model, not a curated record. NCBI's taxonomy places the organism in Eukaryota, Metazoa, Arthropoda, Insecta, Siphonaptera, Pulicidae. The transcript is spliced from 3 exons.